Molecule: ribosomal RNA, 505 nt
Filed under: uncultured bacterium
Lineage: Bacteria
Description: partial 16S ribosomal RNA
Rfam family: Bacterial small subunit ribosomal RNA
Source: RNAcentral
GACGAACGCUGGCGGCGUGCCUAAUACAUGCAAGUAGAACGCACAGUUUAUACCGUAGCUUGCUACACCAUAGACUGUGAGUUGCGAACGGGUGAGUAACGCGUAGGUAACCUGCCUGGUAGCGGGGGAUAACUAUUGGAAACGAUAGCUAAUACCGCAUAAUAUUAAUUAUUGCAUGAUAAUUAAUUGAAAGGUGCAAUUGCACCACUACCAGAUGGACCUGCGUUGUAUUAGUUAGUAGGUGAGGUAACGGCUCACCUAGGCGACGAUACAUAGCCGACCUGAGAGGGUGAUCGGCCACACUGGGACUGAGACACGGCCCAGACUCCUACGGGAGGCAGCAGUAGGGAAUCUUCGGCAAUGGACGAAAGUCUGACCGAGCAACGCCGCGUGAGUGAAGAAGGUUUUCGGAUCGUAAAGCUCUGUUGUAAGAGAAGAACGGGUGUGAGAGUGGAAAGUUCACACUGUGACGGUAUCUUACCAGAAAGGGACGGCUAACUACGUG